UCCUACGGGGGGCUGCAGUGGGGAAUAUUGGACAAUGGGCGCAAGCCUGAUCCAGCCAUGCCGCGUGAGUGAUGAAGGCCCUAGGGUUGUAAAGCUCUUUUAACGGGGAAGAUAAUGACGGUACCCGUAGAAUAAGCCCCGGCUAACUUCGUGCCAGCAGCCGCGGUAAUACGAAGGGGGCUAGCGUUGCUCGGAAUCACUGGGCGUAAAGCGCACGUAGGCGGACUCUUAAGUCGGUGGUGAAAUCCUGGAGCUCAACUCCAGAACUGCCUUCGAUACUGGGAGUCUCGAGUUCGGGAGAGGUGAGUGGAACUGCGAGUGUAGAGGUGAAAUUCGUAGAUAUUCGCAAGAACACCAGUGGCGAAGGCGGCUCACUGGCCCGAUACUGACGCUGAGGUGCGAAAGCGUGGGGAGCAAACAGGAUUAGAUACCCCGGUAGUCC
RNAcentral lists this ribosomal RNA (442 nucleotides) under uncultured Rhodoplanes sp. RNAcentral describes it as "bacterial SSU rRNA". It matches the Rfam family "Bacterial small subunit ribosomal RNA", at positions 337 to 796 of the family's 1533-position model. Lineage: Bacteria; Pseudomonadati; Pseudomonadota; Alphaproteobacteria; Hyphomicrobiales; Nitrobacteraceae. The record is from RNAcentral.